Molecule: ribosomal RNA, 468 nt
Filed under: uncultured bacterium
Lineage: Bacteria
Description: partial 16S ribosomal RNA
Rfam family: Bacterial small subunit ribosomal RNA
Source: RNAcentral
GACGAACGCUGGCGGCGUGCUUAACACAUGCCAGUCGAACGGAAAGGCCCUGCUUUUGUGGGGUGCUCGAGUGGCGAACGGGUGAGUAACACGUGAGUAACCUGCCCUUGACUUUGGGAUAACUUCAGGAAACUGGGGCUAAUACCGGAUAGGAGCUCCUGCUGCAUGGUGUGGGUUGGAAAGUUUCGGCGGUUGGGGAUGGACUCGCGGCUUAUCAGCUUGUUGGUGGGGUAGUGGCUUACCAAGGCUUUGACGGGUAGCCGGCCUGAGAGGGUGACCGGCCACAUUGGGACUGAGAUACGGACCAGACUCCUACGGGAGGCAGCAGUGGGGAAUAUUGCACAAUGGGCGGAAGCCUGAUGCAGCAACGCCGCGUGCGGGAUGACGGCCUUCGGGUUGUAAACCGCUUUCGCCUGUGACGAAGCGUGAGUGACGGUAAUGGGUAAAGAAGCACCGGCUAACUACGUG